Molecule: transfer RNA, 70 nt
Filed under: Entomacrodus strasburgi (Strasburg's blenny)
Lineage: Eukaryota; Metazoa; Chordata; Actinopteri; Blenniiformes; Blenniidae
Description: tRNA-His
Rfam family: tRNA
About the family: Transfer RNA (tRNA) molecules are approximately 80 nucleotides in length. Their secondary structure includes four short double-helical elements and three loops (D, anti-codon, and T loops).
Source: RNAcentral
GUAAAUAUAGUUUAACCAAAAAUACUGGAUUGUGAUUCCAAGGAUAGGGGUUAAAAUCCCCUUGUUUACC